AGUAGGUCAUAGUGAUCCGGUGGUUCUGAAUGGAAGGGCCAUCGCUCAACGGAUAAAAGGUACUCCGGGGAUAACAGGCUGAUACCGCCCAAGAGUUCAUAUCGACGGCGGUGUUUGGCACCUCGAUGUCGGCUCAUCACAUCCUGGGGCUGAAGUAGGUCCCAAGGGUAUGGCUGUUCGCCAUUUAAAGUGGUACGCGAGCUGGGUUUAGAACGUCGUGAGACAGUUCGGUCCCUAUCUGCCGUGGGCGUUGGAUGAUUGAUUGGGGCUGCUCCUAGUACGAGAGGACCGGAGUGGACGCAUCACUGGUGUUCCAGUUGUCUCGCCAGAGGCAUUGCUGGGUAGCUAAAUGCGGAAGAGAUAAGUGCUGAAAGCAUCUAAGCACGAAACUUGCCAAGAGAUGAGUCAUCCCUGACUUUAAGUCAGUAAGGGUUGUUGUAGACUACGACGUAGAUAGGUCAGGUGUGUAAGUGUAGUGAUACAUUGAGCUAACAGAUACUAAUUGCCCGAGAGGCUUAACUAUACAACGCUCAAG
RNAcentral lists this ribosomal RNA (535 nucleotides) under Haemophilus influenzae. RNAcentral describes it as "bacterial LSU rRNA". It matches the Rfam family "Bacterial large subunit ribosomal RNA", at positions 2404 to 2925 of the family's 2925-position model. The record is from RNAcentral. Lineage: Bacteria; Pseudomonadati; Pseudomonadota; Gammaproteobacteria; Pasteurellales; Pasteurellaceae.